Molecule: ribosomal RNA, 253 nt
Filed under: uncultured bacterium
Lineage: Bacteria
Description: partial 16S ribosomal RNA
Rfam family: Bacterial small subunit ribosomal RNA
Source: RNAcentral
UACGAAGGGGGCUAGCGUUGCUCGGAAUGACUGGGCGUAAAGGGCGCGUAGGCGGUUUGUACAGUCAGGUGUGAAAUUCCCGGGCUCAACCUGGGGGCUGCACUUGAUACGUAUGGACUGGAGUGGGGAAGAGGGUCGUGGAAUUCCCAGUGUAGUGGUGAAAUACGUAGAGAUUGGGAAGAACACCAGUGGCGAAGGCGGCUAUCUGGACGGUUUCUGACGCUAAGACGCGAAAGCGUGGGGAGCAAACAGG